This 610-nucleotide long non-coding RNA is filed under the name Brachypodium distachyon (stiff brome). RNAcentral's name for it is "long non-coding RNA (BDIS_LNC003502)". Lineage: Eukaryota; Viridiplantae; Streptophyta; Magnoliopsida; Poales; Poaceae. The record is from RNAcentral.
AAGAUGAUAUCCAACGUUGCUGGCGCAAUCUCACGCCCGCGGAUCUUCGCCUCAAUCUCCCACCGUGGCUGCCUUCCUUCUGGCACGGCAGGCUCGACUCGGCCUCUGAACCUGGGAGGUGGUAGGUCGAGGAACGCACACAGUGCCGCCAAAGGGGCACCGAAUAACUGCUCGUCGUCCGUGGAGGGGUAGUAGAUGUGGGUAAACGGUGGUACGUUGCCAAAGGGUGGUGGUGGGCUUUCCAUCUGUAGAAAAUAAGAAGAAAAGGUAAAGAAGUAUCAGUGGUCAAAAGGUCAGAAGUAAGUAAAAUAAAAUAAAAGAUAGUAGAGUGGAUAAAGUGAUAAGGAUUAAAAUUAAAGGUGGAAUUGCAAAUAUAAAAUUGGAUGCAUGAUGAUAUGUGUAUAACAUGGCAACAUGAUUAUAGUGGUGGUUGGUAUAAUAAAGGAAUAUGCAUCGGUGGUAUAAUAAAAAAAAAUGCAUCUGUAGUACGAGGUAUGGUGUUUGGUCUAUAUGUAAAAUAAAUCAACGAACAUGUCAUGCAUAUGUAAGAUAUAAAUGCAAUGAUUUAGAUGAAUAGGCAUAAGGAGUAAAAUAGAUAUAUAUAUAGAUC